RNAcentral lists this microRNA (23 nucleotides) under Drosophila melanogaster (fruit fly). RNAcentral describes it as "dme-miR-310-5p". Its record names the gene dme-miR-310-5p. Lineage: Eukaryota; Metazoa; Arthropoda; Insecta; Diptera; Drosophilidae. The record is from miRBase by way of RNAcentral.
AGGGCGGGUCGUGUGUCAGUGUA